RNAcentral lists this ribosomal RNA (512 nucleotides) under uncultured bacterium. Its description in RNAcentral is "partial 16S ribosomal RNA". It matches the Rfam family "Bacterial small subunit ribosomal RNA", at positions 28 to 523 of the family's 1533-position model. The record is from RNAcentral.
GAUGAACGCUGGCGGCGUGCCUAAUACAUGCAAGUCGAGCGAAUGAUGAGGAGCUUGCUCCUCUGAUUUAGCGGCGGACGGGUGAGUAACACGUGGGUAAUCUGCCUGUUAGACGGGGAUAACUCCGGGAAACCGGGGCUAAUACCGGAUAACAAGAGAAGAAGCAUUUCUUCUUUUUGAAAGUCGGUUUUGGCUGACACUUACAGAUGAGCCCGCGGCGCAUUAGCUAGUUGGUGAGGUAACGGCUCACCAAGGCGACGAUGCGUAGCCGACCUGGGAGGGUGAUCGGCCACACGGGGACUGAGACACGGCCCAGACUCCUACGGGAGGCAGCAGUAGGGAAUCUUCGGCAAUGGGCGAAAGCCUGACCGAGCAACGCCGCGUGAGCGAUGAAGGCCUUCGGGUCGUAAAGCUCUGUUGUUAGAGAAGAACAAGUACGAGAGUAACUGCUCGUACCUUGACGGUACCUAACCAGAAAGCCACGGCUAACUACGUGCCAGCAGCCGCCGCAG